RNAcentral lists this ribosomal RNA (230 nucleotides) under uncultured bacterium. RNAcentral's name for it is "partial 16S ribosomal RNA". It matches the Rfam family "Bacterial small subunit ribosomal RNA", at positions 562 to 791 of the family's 1533-position model. The record is from RNAcentral.
AAAGGGUGCGUAGGUGGGUGUUUAAGUCUGGUUUGAAAGCAGGCGGCUUAACCGUCUGAUGUGGCUGGAAACUGGACAUCUUGAAUGGGUUGGCGGUAGCCGGAACGGGUCAUGUAGCGGUGAAAUGCAUAGAUAUGACCCAGAACACCGAUUGCGAAGGCAGGCUACUACGACUUGAUUGACACUGAGGCACGAGAGCAUGGGUAGCGAACAGGAUUAGAUACCCUGGU